UUUUACUCUGGAGUUUGAGAGAGCUUUACGAGUGUUGGAUGGAGCGGUUGCUGUGUUUGAUGCUUCUGCUGGAGUAGAGGCUCAAACCAUGACUGUGUGGCGGCAGGCAGAAAAACAUAAAAUCCCAUGUGUGUGCAGCUAGGUUAUACACAAAUUUUUUUUGCUCAUUUCUCAGAAUCUCACUUAAAUUUAGAGAAUCCAUUAACACAAAUUUGCAUGUGUUAUUGAUCUGAAUGAAUGACUGCCGCUCACUAAGGUUUCAUCUCACUCUCAUUUCUCCUAGCCUGAGUUACUCUAUACACAGCAUAAAGACUAAACUAAAGGCCAACCCUGUUCUCCUUCAGAUGACCUUUUUAAACAUAGUAACCAACUACAGUUACCAAUGAAAAGAUUCAUUCUGAAUAUUUAGUAUGAUUUCCAGAACCCCUAUUGGCACAGGGAAGAGCUUUACCGGAUUGGCGGACUUGAUCACUAGGCAGAAAAUGAAGUAGCAGGGGAGCUCAAUUACAUAUGAUGGUUGUACUUUUGAGACCAGCACCCUUCAGCCCACAGAUGACCCAGAUGUGCUCCAGGCUGACAGUGAGGCCAGGCCACUUUGAUAGAACAGGUAGCAGAUCUAAAUGAUGAUUUUGCGAAGCUGCUUCUGGGACGGUACAGUGAAAACUUUGAUGCAGUGCCUGCAGGGGAGUUGAGGGAGGCAGUGAGAUGAGUGACAUUAGCUCGUAAGGGAGUUCCUGUGUUGUUUGGAAGCUCUCUGAAAAAUAAAAGGGGUUCAACUUCUGCUGGAUGCCAUUACUGCUUACCUUCCUGCCCCCAAUGAGAGAAACCAUGACCUGGUGCGCUGGUAUAAGGAUGAUCUGUGUGCGUUGGCAUUCAAAUUGGUCCAUGACAAACAGAGGGGUCCACUCAUGUUUGUUAGGAUCUAUUCAGGAAGCAUGAAGGCUCAGUCGGCAGUGUACAACAUAAACAGGAACGGAACGUAGGUUCUUACUGGGGAAAAUCUGGCAUGCGCAAAGCUGACUUCAUACGUCAUCCGCCCGGAACUGCUUCCAUUUA
This is a long non-coding RNA of Sinocyclocheilus grahami, 1056 nucleotides long. RefSeq lists it as uncharacterized. NCBI's taxonomy places the organism in Eukaryota, Metazoa, Chordata, Actinopteri, Cypriniformes, Cyprinidae. The record is from RefSeq and is a predicted model, not a curated record. The transcript is spliced from 5 exons.